This 1486-nucleotide ribosomal RNA is filed under the name Rhodopseudomonas palustris. Its description in RNAcentral is "bacterial SSU rRNA". It matches the Rfam family "Bacterial small subunit ribosomal RNA". The record is from RNAcentral. Lineage: Bacteria; Pseudomonadati; Pseudomonadota; Alphaproteobacteria; Hyphomicrobiales; Nitrobacteraceae.
CCCGGGGAUCCGAUUAGAGUUUGAUCCUGGCUCAGAGCGAACGCUGGCGGCAGGCUUAACACAUGCAAGUCGAACGGGCGUAGCAAUACGUCAGUGGCAGACGGGUGAGUAACGCGUGGGAACGUACCUUUUGGUUCAGAACAACUGAGGGAAACUUCAGCUAAUACCGGAUAAGCCCUUACGGGGAAAGAUUUAUCGCCGAAAGAUCGGCCCGCGUCUGAUUAGCUAGUUGGUGAGGUAAUGGCUCACCAAGGCGACGAUCAGUAGCUGGUCUGAGAGGAUGAUCAGCCACAUUGGGACUGAGACACGGCCCAAACUCCUACGGGAGGCAGCAGUGGGGAAUAUUGGACAAUGGGCGAAAGCCUGAUCCAGCCAUGCCGCGUGAGUGAUGAAGGCCCUAGGGUUGUAAAGCUCUUUUGUGCGGGAAGAUAAUGACGGUACCGCAAGAAUAAGCCCCGGCUAACUUCGUGCCAGCAGCCGCGGUAAUACGAAGGGGGCUAGCGUUGCUCGGAAUCACUGGGCGUAAAGGGUGCGUAGGCGGGUUUCUAAGUCAGAGGUGAAAGCCUGGAGCUCAACUCCAGAACUGCCUUUGAUACUGGAAGUCUUGAGUAUGGCAGAGGUGAGUGGAACUGCGAGUGUAGAGGUGAAAUUCGUAGAUAUUCGCAAGAACACCAGUGGCGAAGGCGGCUCACUGGGCCAUUACUGACGCUGAGCACGAAGCGUGGGAGCAACAGAUUAGAUACCCUGUAGUCACGCCGUAAACGAUGAUGCCAGCCGUUAGUGGUUUUACUCACUAGUGGCGCAGCUAACGCUUAAGCAUCCGCCUGGGGAGUACGGUCGCAAGAUUAAACUCAAAGGAAUUGACGGGGGCCCGCACAAGCGGUGGAGCAUGUGGUUUAAUUCGACGCAACGCGCAGAACCUUACCAGCCCUUGACAUGUCCAGGACCGGUCGCAGAGACGUGACCUUCUCUUCGGAGCCUGGAGCACAGGUGCUGCAUGGCUGUCGUCAGCUCGUGUCGUGAGAUGUUGGGUUAAGUCCCGCAACGAGCGCAACCCCCGUCCUUAGUUGCUACCAUUUAGUUGAGCACUCUAAGGAGACUGCCGGUGAUAAGCCGCGAGGAAGGUGGGGAUGACGUCAAGUCCUCAUGGCCCUUACGGGCUGGGCUACACACGUGCUACAAUGGCGGUGACAAUGGGAAGCUAAGGGGCGACCCUUCGCAAAUCUCAAAAAGCCGUCUCAGUUCGGAUUGGGCUCUGCAACUCGAGCCCAUGAAGUUGGAAUCGCUAGUAAUCGUGAAUCAGCAUGCCACGGUGAAUACGUUCCCGGGCCUUGUACACACCGCCCGUCACACCAUGGGAGUUGGCUUUACCUGAAGACGGUGCGCUAACCAGCAAUGGAGGCAGCCGGCCACGGUAGGGUCAGCGACUGGGGUGAAGUCGUAACAAGGUAGCCGUAGGGGAACCUGCGGCUGGAUCACCUCCUUU